RNAcentral lists this ribosomal RNA (365 nucleotides) under Rhodosorus marinus. RNAcentral's name for it is "partial Eukaryotic large subunit ribosomal RNA". It matches the Rfam family "Eukaryotic large subunit ribosomal RNA", at positions 2979 to 3351 of the family's 3401-position model. Lineage: Eukaryota; Rhodophyta; Stylonematophyceae; Stylonematales; Stylonemataceae. The record is from RNAcentral.
CAGGUUAGUUUUACCCUACUGAUGGAGUGUUAUCGUAAUGGUAAUUGAGGGUAGUACGAGAGGAACUGCUCAUUCAGAUAAUUGGUAUUUGCGCCUGUCCGAUCGGGCAAUGGCGCGAAGCUAUCAUCUGCUAGAUUAUGGCUGAACGCCUCUAAGUCAGAAUCUGUGCCAGAAACGAUGAUGUUGGUCCCGCACAUGUUAGUUGUGUUUAAAUAGAGCUUCGGCUUGUGAACCAUAAAUGUUGGCUUAGUAGCUUGGACGGAAAGGUCCUUGUUGCUCGCUGAUGAAUUGAAAUUUAGAUAUGGGCGGGGGUGAAUCCUUUGCAGACGACUUAUUGGGAACGGAGUGCUGUAAGCAGUAGAGUA